Small nucleolar RNA from Lemur catta (Ring-tailed lemur), 101 nucleotides. RefSeq annotates it as small nucleolar RNA U13. The record is from RefSeq and is a predicted model, not a curated record. NCBI's taxonomy places the organism in Eukaryota, Metazoa, Chordata, Mammalia, Primates, Lemuridae. The transcript has a single exon.
GACCUUUUGUGGUUCAUGAGCGUGAUGGUCGGGUUUUCACGCGCGUGUGUGAGAUGUGUCACCCUCAAACCUAGUGACGACGGCACAUUACCCAUCUGAAG